Molecule: ribosomal RNA, 472 nt
Filed under: uncultured bacterium
Lineage: Bacteria
Description: bacterial SSU rRNA
Rfam family: Bacterial small subunit ribosomal RNA
Source: RNAcentral
UGGGGAAUAUUGGACAAUGGGCGAAAGCCUGAUCCAGCCAUGCCGCGUGUGUGAAGAAGGUCUUCGGAUUGUAAAGCACUUUAAGUUGGGAGGAAGGGUUGUAGAUUAAUACUCUGCAAUUUUGACGUUACCGACAGAAUAAGCACCGGCUAACUCUGUGCCAGCAGCCGCGGUAAUACAGAGGGUGCAAGCGUUAAUCGGAAUUACUGGGCGUAAAGCGCGCGUAGGUGGUUUGUUAAGUUGGAUGUGAAAUCCCCGGGCUCAACCUGGGAACUGCAUCCAAAACUGGCAAGCUAGAGUACGGUAGAGGGUGGUGGAAUUUCCUGUGUAGCGGUGAAAUGCGUAGAUAUAGGAAGGAACACCAGUGGCGAAGGCGACCACCUGGACUGAUACUGACACUGAGGUGCGAAAGCGUGGGGAGCAAACAGGAUUAGAUACCCCCGUAGUCCCUGAGCGGGCUGGCAAGGCGCAU